CUACGGGCCGCUGCAGUGGGGAAUAUUGCACAAUGGGCGCAAGCCUGAUGCAGCCAUGCCGCGUGUAUGAAGGAGGCCUUCGGGUUGUAAAGUACUUUCAGCGGGGAGGAAGGGAGUAAAGUUAAUACCUUUGCUCAUUGACGUUACCCGCAGAAGAAGCACCGGCUAACUCCGUGCCAGCAGCCGCGGUAAUACGGAGGGUGCAAGCGUUAAUCGGAAUUACUGGGCGUAAAGCGCACGCAGGCGGUUUGUUAAGUCAGAUGUGAAAUCCCCGGGCUCAACCUGGGAACUGCAUCUGAUACUGGCAAGCUAGAGUCUCGUAGAGGGGGGUAGAAUUCCAGGUGUAGCGGUGAAAUGCGUAGAGAUCUGGAGGAAUACCGGUGGCGAAGGCGGCCCCCUGGACGAAGACUGACGCUCAGGUGCGAAAGCGUGGGGAGCAAACAGGAUUAGAUACCCGCGUAGUC
Molecule: ribosomal RNA, 464 nt
Filed under: uncultured bacterium
Lineage: Bacteria
Description: partial 16S ribosomal RNA
Rfam family: Bacterial small subunit ribosomal RNA
Source: RNAcentral